GACGAACGCUGGCGGCGUGCCUAAUACAUGCAAGUAGAACGCUGAAGGAGGAGCUUGCUUCUCUGGAUGAGUUGCGAACGGGUGAGUAACGCGUAGGUAACCUGCCUGGUAGCGGGGGAUAACUAUUGGAAACGAUAGCUAAUACCGCAUAAGAGUAGAUGUUGCAUGACAUUUGCUUAAAAGGUGCAAUUGCAUCACUACCAGAUGGACCUGCGUUGUAUUAGCUAGUUGGUGGGGUAACGGCUCACCAAGGCGACGAUACAUAGCCGACCUGAGAGGGGGAUCGGCCACACUGGGACUGAGACACGGCCCAGACUCCUACGGGAGGCAGCAGUAGGGAAUCUUCGGCAAUAGACGGAAGUCUGACCGAGCAACGCCGCGUGAGUGAAGAAGGUUUUCGGAUCGUAAAGCUCAGUUGUAAGAGAAGAACGAGUGUGAGAGUGGAAAGUUCACACUGUGACGGUAUCUUACCAGAAAGGGACGGCUAACUACGUG
RNAcentral lists this ribosomal RNA (495 nucleotides) under uncultured bacterium. RNAcentral's name for it is "partial 16S ribosomal RNA". It matches the Rfam family "Bacterial small subunit ribosomal RNA", at positions 28 to 507 of the family's 1533-position model. The record is from RNAcentral.